GAGGAAUAUUGGUCAAUGGGCGAGAGCCUGAGCCAGCCAAGUAGCGUGCAGGAAGACGGCCCUAUGGGUUGUAAACUGCUUUUGUAUGGGGAUAAAGUCAAUCACGUGUGAUUGUUUGCAGGUACCAUACGAAUAAGGACCGGCUAAUUCCGUGCCAGCAGCCGCGGUAAUACGGAAGGUCCGGGCGUUAUCCGGAUUUAUUGGGUUUAAAGGGAGCGUAGGCUGGAGAUUAAGUGUGUUGUGAAAUGUAGACGCUCAACGUCUGACUUGCAGCGCAUACUGGUUUCCUUGAGUACGCACAACGUUGGCGGAAUUCGUCGUGUAGCGGUGAAAUGCUUAGAUAUGACGAAGAACUCCGAUUGCGAAGGCAGCUGACGGGAGCGCAACUGACGCUGAAGCUCGAAGGUGCGGGUAUCGAACAGGAUUAGAUACCCUGGUAGUCCGCACAGUAAACGAUGGAUGCCCGCUGUUGGUACCUGGUAUCAGCGGCUAAGCGAAAGCAUUAAGCAUCCCACCUGGGGAGUACGCCGGCAACGGUG
This 539-nucleotide ribosomal RNA is filed under the name uncultured bacterium. Its description in RNAcentral is "bacterial SSU rRNA". It matches the Rfam family "Bacterial small subunit ribosomal RNA", at positions 356 to 896 of the family's 1533-position model. The record is from RNAcentral.